UACUUUGAAGAUCAUCACUCAAACUAUCUGCAUCAAAAUGCAUUUAGAUCAUUGCAGAAUACGUUGCCUCCAUUACACUUAAAAUAUUAUUCCGUGUUAUAAAUGUCUCUGUUGUUGUACUCUGUUUAAGGCAAUUUGGUCACUGUAUCAGAAGGUUUGUGAGGGUCUAAAGCUGCUGAUGUAGAGCAAGUGCAAAUGUGAAGCCACCACUUGCAGCCUCUACCAUCUCAAAACCCCCAACUCAUUUUCCAAGGCGUUGCAAUGUGUGUAGCUAGGUGGAAGCAUCAAAGCCCAUUGCCCCUGAGCACAUUUGCUCACAACGGUCCCAUCCUACCUUGGCACUGCCCUGUGGACAUGUGAAAUUCCUCAGCUACAAGAGAAAGAAGAAGCAGGUGGCUCUCCACACAGCACACCUCGUGUGUUCAUCUGCUGCUUGCUUGAUGGACAAAAAUGCCUAUGAAAGAAGCAGGCAGUAAAUAAGAGCACGGAAGGGGUUUCACUCUGAAAAGAUCUGGCUCUCCUUGAAUCUGGGAUCUGAAGAGGACAGCAAUGGAGAUACAUCUUUACAAUGUGUCAUCUGUGGAUGAAAGUGUGCUCCACCGAAGCAGUCCUUUCUGAGCUACUGACUCGAAAUUGAGUUUGGUGGCCACAUCUCUGCAUGCCCAAGAAUUUGCCACGCACGUGGAUCACCUUUCCUGUGGGCAGAAGUGCUGGAUUUGGGCUGCAGAAUGGCUUCUUGGAAUUCCUUGGUCACGAAGUAGUAGCAGACGCUAUCCAGGCAGCAGUUGGACGUGGCAAUGCACCUCGUCAGGGCAAAGAAGUCCAUCAUGACCUGGAUCAGGAAACAGCUAGGUCCAACAUACUCCAUUAUGAACCUGAAAAGUAUCCCAAGGUAGGCUGGCAGAAAACAU
Molecule: long non-coding RNA, 911 nt
Organism: Cygnus olor (mute swan)
Lineage: Eukaryota; Metazoa; Chordata; Aves; Anseriformes; Anatidae
Exons: 5
Source: RefSeq, a predicted model, not a curated record